GCAUCCAUGGCUAAAUGGCUAAAGCAUUCAACUCACAAUUAACGAAUUUGUAAGUUCAAUUUUUAUUGGAUGCA
Gossypium hirsutum (cotton) is the source of this 74-nucleotide non-coding RNA. The record is from Rfam. Lineage: Eukaryota; Viridiplantae; Streptophyta; Magnoliopsida; Malvales; Malvaceae.